GAUGAACGCUGGCGGCGUGCCUAAUACAUGCAAGUCGAGCGAACAGACGAGGAGCUUGCUCCUCUGACGUUAGCGGCGGACGGGUGAGUAACACGUGGAUAACCUACCUAUAAGACUGGGAUAACUUCGGGAAACCGGAGCUAAUACCGGAUAAUAUAUUGAACCGCAUGGUUCAAUAGUGAAAGACGGUUUUGCUGUCACUUAUAGAUGGAUCCGCGCCGCAUUAGCUAGUUGGUAAGGUAACGGCUUACCAAGGGAACGAUGCGUAGCCGACGUGAGAGGGUGAUCGGCCACACUGGAACGUAGACGGGGUCCAGACGCCUGAGGGAGGCAGCAGUAGGGAAUCUUACGCAAUAGGGGGAAGCAUGACGGAGCGACGCCGCGUGAGUGAUGGCGAUCUUGGGAGCGUAAAGCUCUGUUAUGAGGGAAAAACAAAUGUGGAAGGAACUAAGCACGUCGUGACGGUACCGAGUCAGAAAGCCACGGCUAACUACGUG
This 497-nucleotide ribosomal RNA is filed under the name uncultured bacterium. Its description in RNAcentral is "partial 16S ribosomal RNA". It matches the Rfam family "Bacterial small subunit ribosomal RNA", at positions 28 to 507 of the family's 1533-position model. The record is from RNAcentral.